CUCACCCUACAUUCUAAGCCCACGAGGUGACCAAAUUAACCCCUUCAUUUUGCCCAUUCGUUUCCCAAGGUGGGGAGAUCCUCACUGGAGGCUAGAUCGCGGUGCAGGAAAUUAAAUAAUGGAAUCGCCUCUUCUUGGACGGUAGACUCCCCAUCAUUGGUCUCACAAAUGUGAAAGUAGGCAGUCUCACUAGAAAAGGUAGCACUUAAAGGCCAUUCCAAGGCACGAGCAAGCUUUGUGAGCCAUAUGGGCUGCCCUCUUACCAAAUUAACACCUAUGAAGGUGGCAGUCCCAAGCUCACCCAAUUUAGGGAGGGAGUCCUUGACCAGGGGCACAACAUCGGGAAAGGCAUGCAGAAAACAAG
This 364-nucleotide long non-coding RNA is filed under the name Amborella trichopoda. RNAcentral describes it as "long non-coding RNA (ATRI_LNC004749)". Lineage: Eukaryota; Viridiplantae; Streptophyta; Magnoliopsida; Amborellales; Amborellaceae. The record is from RNAcentral.